UUAGUCUUAACCACCGAUACUUAACACACAAACGUAUCCGCCAGAGAACUACAAGUGAAAAACUUAAAACUCAAAGGAUUUGGCGGUACUCCACCCAAACUAGAGGAGCCUGUCCUAUAAUCGAUACCCCCCGAUCAACCUAACCACCCCUUGCCAACCAGCCUAUAUACCGCCGUCGCCAGCUUAUCCCGUGAGAAUUUUAAAAUAAGCACAACAGUCUAACCACUAAAACGUCAGGUCAAGGCGUAGCUAACGGGGUGGAAGUGAUGAGCUACACUCUCUACCCAAGAAAAAACGAAUGGCAUCAUGAAAUGUGAAGCCGGAAGGCGGAUUUAGCAGUAAACUAAGAAAGAAUACUAAAUU
Molecule: ribosomal RNA, 363 nt
Filed under: Abronia frosti
Lineage: Eukaryota; Metazoa; Chordata; Lepidosauria; Squamata; Anguidae
Description: partial 12S ribosomal RNA
Rfam family: Bacterial small subunit ribosomal RNA
Source: RNAcentral